CCUACGGGAGGCAGCAGUGAGGAAUAUUGGUCAAUGGACGAGAGUCUGAACCAGCCACGUAGCGUGAAGGAUGACUGCCCUAUGGGUUGUAAACUUCUUUUAUAUGGGAAUAAAAUGUUCCACGUGUGGGAUUUUGUAUGUACCAUAUGAAUAAGGAUCGGCUAACUCCGUGCCAGCAGCCGCGGUAAUACGGAGGAUCCGAGCGUUAUCCGGAUUUAUUGGGUGUAAGGGGAGCGUAGGUGGUUUGUUAAGUCAGUUGUGAAAGUUGGCGGCUCAACCGUAAAAUUGCAGUUGAGACUGGCAGUCUUGAGUACAGUAGAGGUGGGCGGAAUUCGUGGUGUAGCGGUGAAAUGCGUAGAUAUCACGAAGAACUCCGAUUGCGAAGGCAGUUCACUGGACUGAAACUGACACUGAGGCUCGAAAGUGUGGGUAUCAAACAGGAUUAGAUACCCGAGUAGUC
This 460-nucleotide ribosomal RNA is filed under the name uncultured bacterium. Its description in RNAcentral is "partial 16S ribosomal RNA". It matches the Rfam family "Bacterial small subunit ribosomal RNA", at positions 338 to 795 of the family's 1533-position model. The record is from RNAcentral.